UACGUAGGGUGCAAGCGUUGUCCGGAAUUAUUGGGCGUAAAGAGCUCGUAGGCGGCUUGUCGCGUCGUCCGUGAAAACCUGCAGCUCAACUGCAGGCUUGCGGGCGAUACGGGCAGGCUAGAGUUCGGUAGGGGAGACUGGAAUUCCUGGUGUAGCGGUGAAAUGCGCAGAUAUCAGGAGGAACACCGGUAGCGAAGGCGGGUCUCUGGGCCGAUACUGACGCUGAGGAGCGAAAGCGUGGGGAGCGAACAGG
This 253-nucleotide ribosomal RNA is filed under the name uncultured bacterium. RNAcentral's name for it is "partial 16S ribosomal RNA". It matches the Rfam family "Bacterial small subunit ribosomal RNA", at positions 524 to 776 of the family's 1533-position model. The record is from RNAcentral.